AUUUUGUUUCGAUCUCGGCGGUUGGAGAAGUACUGUUGAGCUAGUUCAUUCCAAUUUUUUUGAAAAAAUGAAUUUUGAACCUAAAAAGAUUUUAUCUGGCAUCAAAUUAUCUAGUAAAUAUUCGGCAAGUCUAAAGUGCAAUGAUUUUCGUCAAUUUUUUACGUGUCCAAAGUGUAAAAUUAAAAGAUGCAAACGUGCUCGCGAAGGCGUCGUUCACAUGGUUAUCGCCCCGAGUGCGGAGCAUGGUGCUUUUCGUGGAAAGGAUGAACUAACAUAGGAAUCAGGAACAGAAAGAACUUCGUGCCACGAAUUUUUGAAGUCUAGGAAAGAGUAUGGACUCUAAAAUCGAAAGGGACUCCUGCCACGUGUUUCCCAAUUUCAUUGAAUAGAAUAUUCAGACUAUAAACUCUGAAGGGACCACUAUGUACCACGUACUUUUCAGUUUAUCUAAACACAAUAUUUGAGUGAUCUCUUUGGAAUCUGGAGGCAGUUGUAAAUUUGGACAAGAUGCAGUUAAUUUAGUAGGCAUUUUAAUCUUCGAUUUUUAAUGAACGUCUGCAUUUGAGAAAUACGAAUGAUAUUUUAAGUGAAGAUCUCAUGGAAAGAACUUCAGCAACAAAAAUGUGUGCUUCUGAAGUUCAACAUGUUUUGCUAUAUAGUGAGAAUUCAAGUCAUUCGCUAUUCUAAAAAUGUUAUUUUAGAGCAGAAUGUUCCCUGUUAUCUCCUUUGACUCUAGAAUAAAUAUUUCAAUAUACGGAAUCUAACACAGAAUAACAGCAGUGGAGGUCUGAAGACAAUCCAAAUUGAAUAAUAUUUGACGUGGAAGUUUAUGGCGUAUGUCCGCAACUAAAUUUGAUGUUUGGUGGACAACAUCAACUGGGCACCAAUGAGAUUAAGUGGUCACAGUCAACACAAUUUCGCCUUCAUUUUCUGUAUACAAGAUUCCCCGAAUGUUACCUGCAAACCGUAGUUUAGCUGCGAGCAGUUGAGAGUACAUAAUUUUUUUUCAAAGCUGGGCAGUGGCAUUUAUACUAGUACGCAUAGCCUUCGAAACGUUCACAAAUGUAUAAAACUUCUCUGUUUCUAAAAUGGGUAUCUUGAAAUUUGUUUGCUUUUAACUGCAUUAUUUUAGUAGAAACUUAAUGAUGGAAAUUAUAAUACUUAUAUUUUGAUUACAUGUAAAAUAAAAGUUUUCUAUUACAUUAUU
Belonocnema kinseyi is the source of this 1207-nucleotide long non-coding RNA. RefSeq lists it as uncharacterized. The transcript is spliced from 13 exons. The record is from RefSeq and is a predicted model, not a curated record. Lineage: Eukaryota; Metazoa; Arthropoda; Insecta; Hymenoptera; Cynipidae.